RNAcentral lists this ribosomal RNA (463 nucleotides) under uncultured bacterium. RNAcentral describes it as "partial 16S ribosomal RNA". It matches the Rfam family "Bacterial small subunit ribosomal RNA", at positions 338 to 795 of the family's 1533-position model. The record is from RNAcentral.
CCUACGGGUGGCAGCAGUGGGGAAUAUUGGGCAAUGGGCGCAAGCCUGACCCAGCAACGCCGCGUGAAGGAAGAAGGCUUUCGGGUUGUAAAGAUCUGUUGACAGGGACGAAUAAGCAAUGCGAAUAGUUUUGUGUAUGACGGUACCUGUUUAGAAAGCUCCGGCUAACUACGUGCCAGCAGCCGCGGUAAUACGUAGGGAGCAAGCGUUGUCCGGAAUUACUGGGCGUAAAGGGCGCGUAGGUGGGCGCUCAAGUCAGGUGUGAAAACCCCGGGCUCAACCAGGAGACUGCACUUGAAACUGGGUGUCUUGAGGGCAGGAGAGGAAAGUGGAAUUCCUGGUGUAGCGGUGAAAUGCGUAGAGAUUAGGAGGAAUACCAGUGGCGAAGGCGACUUUCUGGACUAUACCUGACGCUGAGGCGCGAAAGCGUGGGUAGCGAACGGGAUUAGAUACCCGUGUAGUC